GGGAAGCCGGUCAAGAAAGCUAUUUGGUGAAAAAGAAGAGGGUACCGAAACGAUCCGAUAUUUCGAUCCCCCAGCCAUGGAAUCCGGCAAGCCGCUGCUCUUCGAGAUGCGCAUGGUGACGGCCGCCAACUCCCUGGUGUUCUCCUCCUCCGAUGGGCCGUCCGCCGCUCCCCAUUCGUUGGCCUCGAUGCCGAGUGGAAGCCCACCCGGAACCACCACGGCGGCGAGUGCGACGGCGGUGGCGGAGAAGCUACCUCUUCCGCGUUCCCCGCGCCGCCCUUCCACACCGUGACCUCCUCCAGAUCGCCUGCAGGGUCCGCCGCGAGCCGUCGGAUUCGGCGGUCGGCGACUCGCUGGUGUUCUUGGUGGUCCUGCUGUCCGUCCCACUCCCGGCCCUCUAUGAGGUGCUGAAGGAAAUGUUCAUGGCUUCGUCGGUGCUGAAGCCCGGUUCAGGUUGAAGCAGGACCUCAUCUAUCUCUCCUCCACAUUCUCCUCCCAGGGUUGCCGCGCCGGCUUCGAUAGAUGAUUGAGGCCUUCCAAUUGAAGAUUACUGAGGAACGACUUAUGUCAAGAUGUACAAAAUGCAAUUGGAGCUUCAUUGAGAAACACUGACCACCGAGGAAGCUAUGGCAGCUUCGACCGUGUCCCAAGUCAUUCCUGACCGCCUCAUCAACUGGAACUUAGACUUCGGCAAUGCAUCGAUUGCGACCAACUUUAUUAGGAGGGAACCCAGCACCAAACUGCCUUUCAGAAAUUCAUUACAGUUUGAAAUUUGAAUGACCGAACCAAUUUGUUCUCCAAAAUACAAUGGCAUCUCUGAAGUGAGAACUCAGUUUGCGGUACCAGGCCAUAAUGAUGAUUUUUUAUGCAGAAUAAUAAUUUAAGACUCCUUCCUGAACCUAAUCCAAGGUGGGUUGGUGGAUGACAGAGAUGGGACCCAGGCGCAUUAGCAACCAGUACAUCACUCAACUUUCUUUUCUUUGUUAAUGACCUUCCAGGUUCAAAGAAGAUGGUGAAGAGAUCUAAGUUUGACCACUGUCCAUUCCUUUCAGAUCAUCAAACACUCUCUCUUGUAUCAAUUAGUAAUAUACAAAUGCAAAGGACCAAGGAAGUACCUUGGUUUGUGCUUUAGUGUACGUUUUUAUAUUUCUUGCUUUAUAGUGGCUGAUUUGAUCAAGGAGAAGAAAAAAUUGGGGUCCACCAAGUUUAUUUUUGUAUGUUAGAUUCAAAUUGAUUAGACUGAUAUCUUCUUUAAACUGGAAGGGUCAAGUUUGGUGAGAUUUGGAGAGGGAUAUUGUCGGACCUCACCACUCACAGCUGAUGGGGCUCGGUGGUCCAAUCCGGUAGGACAAUGGAGUGGUGGUGGGGAGACGAAGGUAACUGAGGAUGGACAGAAUCGGCCCAACUGCGUUGAAGCGUAGACUUUUCUUUCGUCCCUGUCGGCCUCUCAAAGCGUGGGGUUCAGAAAAGAAAGAUAAUAUUUUGAUAAAUGUUCUUAAAAUUUUGGAAGCAUUUCUUUCAAGCUAUGCUUUUGGGUGAUGUAGGGGCCCCUUGUUUCAAAACCAAAGAGGUUGUGGUGUAUAGUGUACUCUACUGAAGGACCCGUUGAAUCAUAGACUUUCUUUGUUUCAAAACCUGUAACUGAAGGGUCCUCUGGUUGGUUCGACAUUUUAUCUCUCUAGGCGCUCUUAAACCUAAAAUAUUUGUUCGGAUUUCUCUGAUGGGUGGAUUGUUUGGGCCAGUCUAGAUCUUUUUGAUCAUGUUAUCUAUAGGUCUGGCGGCACGAAGAUUGUCGGUCAGAUUUGUAUUUUUUUGUUGGGAGUAGCAUGCUUAGUAUUUUUGAUCAAAUUUGAUUUAAUAAAUAUUAGGUUUUAAGAAUUGAAUUGGAAGCUACGAGAACCCAAGGAGAGAGAGAAUGGAGGAUCUCUCUUAUCUUUUCUAAAUGUCAAUCUAGAUGGAACAAAAGAACAGG
Long non-coding RNA from Phoenix dactylifera (date palm), 1972 nucleotides. RefSeq lists it as uncharacterized. NCBI's taxonomy places the organism in Eukaryota, Viridiplantae, Streptophyta, Magnoliopsida, Arecales, Arecaceae. The record is from RefSeq and is a predicted model, not a curated record.